Molecule: transfer RNA, 136 nt
Filed under: Candidatus Woesearchaeota archaeon
Lineage: Archaea; Nanobdellati; Candidatus Woesearchaeota
Description: tRNA-Gly
Rfam family: tRNA
About the family: Transfer RNA (tRNA) molecules are approximately 80 nucleotides in length.
Source: RNAcentral
GCGGCGAUAGUAUAAUGGCUAGUAUAUUGGCCUUCCAAGCCAAUGGUCCGGGUUCGAAAGGAGGCUCAAAUUUUAACACAAAGUGCUACGUGCACAAACUAAAAUAGGACUAUCCUCGAAAGUCCCGGUCGCCGCA